Long non-coding RNA from Bactrocera tryoni, 772 nucleotides. RefSeq lists it as uncharacterized. NCBI's taxonomy places the organism in Eukaryota, Metazoa, Arthropoda, Insecta, Diptera, Tephritidae. The transcript is spliced from 3 exons. The record is from RefSeq and is a predicted model, not a curated record.
AUGUUGGCUCUUCCGUUCAUCCACUCUUAAAUAUAUUUGUUUUCCUAAUAAAUUCGUCAUGAAAUGGUUGGACGGCUGGCAAAUAACAUAAAAACACACCGUGGACUUUGAUCUCUCUACGUGUAGCUCCGCAUAUUCGUCGAAUAAAGCGAAUACCUCUAUACAUAUAGCCAGACUUAAAAGCAAAAACACAAUACCACAUACCGACACACGGCAUAUAAUGAAAUAAGCAAGCAAAAGAUACAAAUAUACUUACUAAUUCGCAUGACCAUAAAAACUUACAUAUUGUUAUUUAUUUCGAAUGAAUUUGGCUGGCGACUUUUUUUGUGAAAUGAGACGAGUAUGCUCACCAGAGACACCAGACACAUUUAUAAAUGCUUGAAAACAACUUUUCCUAAACAGUAAGUGAUCCAGAAAGUUGAAAGCCGAGCUUCUCAUUAUACUAGAAGCAGAGCUCGGAAAACAUUUACCAGAUGCAUCGGUAUGAAACGUUUUUUUGUGAAAAAGAAAUGCUAAUACAAAGUAUUGGCCAAUGCUUUUUGCAUAUCAAACCUAUCAGACACCGAAUUUUCGGCUUCUUCGUAGGAAUCAAAGUGCUGCUCAGCCAAAGCGUGUCGACCGUAUCGAUGAAAACAUAUUGUAGGGUGAGGAUACAGAGUAGAAUUUUGGGGAGGGGGAACUACACAUAUAAUUUUGCACUUGAUUUGAGAAAAUGAGAAAUGUGUAACUGUAGACUAUAAUUUUAUUUUUAAUAUAUUUAUGUAAGUAUGUA